CCCUACGGGGCGCAGCAGGCCGAGCUUGUCCAGGUUGUCCUUGAGGCCGUUGGUGAGGGCCACGAUGGUGGCGAAGAUCAUGGUCGUCGCGCCCACCACGGCGGUGCCGAUCAGCACCGGCUUCGAGGUCGCCUUGAAGGUGUUGCCCGCGCCGUCGUUCUCUUCCAGGUUUUCCUUCGCCUUCUCGAAGUUCGGGGUGAAACCGAAGUCCUUCUUGAUCUGCUCUUCGAUGCCCUUGACUUCUUCGAUCAUGGAAAGCUCGUAGAGCGACUGGGCGUUGUCGG
RNAcentral lists this ribosomal RNA (284 nucleotides) under uncultured prokaryote. RNAcentral's name for it is "partial 16S ribosomal RNA". The record is from RNAcentral.